Molecule: non-coding RNA, 81 nt
Organism: Xenopus laevis (African clawed frog)
Lineage: Eukaryota; Metazoa; Chordata; Amphibia; Anura; Pipidae
Source: Rfam
GCUCCUCUGUGGGUGGGGAUUUGUUGCACUACUUGUGUUUUUAUUAAAAGUAUUGCACUUGUCCCGGCCUGUGGAUGAAAG